GACUCUCGACAACGGAUAUCUCGGCUCUCGUAUCGAUGAAGAAUGUAGCAAAAUGUGAUACUUGGUGUGAAUUGCAGAAUCCCAUGAACCAUCGAGUCUUUGAACGCAAGUUGCGCCCUAAGCCAUUAGGUCGAGGGCACGUCUGCCUGGGUGUCA
RNAcentral lists this ribosomal RNA (156 nucleotides) under Gossypium arboreum. RNAcentral's name for it is "5.8S ribosomal RNA". It matches the Rfam family "5.8S ribosomal RNA". From Rfam's summary of the family: 5.8S ribosomal RNA (5.8S rRNA) is a component of the large subunit of the eukaryotic ribosome. It is transcribed by RNA polymerase I as part of the 45S precursor that also contains 18S and 28S rRNA. The record is from Rfam by way of RNAcentral. Lineage: Eukaryota; Viridiplantae; Streptophyta; Magnoliopsida; Malvales; Malvaceae.